This 768-nucleotide ribosomal RNA is filed under the name uncultured bacterium. RNAcentral's name for it is "bacterial SSU rRNA". It matches the Rfam family "Bacterial small subunit ribosomal RNA", at positions 8 to 803 of the family's 1533-position model. The record is from RNAcentral.
AGAGUUUGAUCAUGGCUCAGGAUGAACGCUGGCGGCAUGGCUAAGGCAUGCAAGUCGAAUGCUAGUUUACUAGCAUGGCAAACGGGAGAGUAACACAUUGGUAAUUUACCCCGAGGAUGAGAAUAACCCGGAGAAAUCCGGAAUAAUACUCAAUAAUAGUGGGGGGACAAAAGUCAUUCCCACUUAAAGCUCCGACGCCUCGGGAGAAGCCUAUGGUCUAUCAGCUUGUUGGUGAGGGUAAAAGCCCACCAAGGCUAUGACGGAUAGCGGGUGUGAGAGCAUGACCCGUCUCACUGGGACUGAGACACUGCCCAGACUCCUACGGGAGGCUGCAGUCACGAAUCUUCCUCAAUGGCCGAAAGGCUGAAGGAGCAAUGCCGCGUGUAUGAAGACGCCCUUCGGGGUGUAAAAUACUUUUAUUAGGGACGAAUCAAUGACGGUACCUAAUGAAUAAGGGGCUGCUAACCUCGUGCCAGCAGCAGCGGUAAUACGAGGGCCCCGAGCGUUAUCCGGGUUUAUUGGGCGUAAAGGGUCCGUAGGCGGUCUAUCGCAUCUCCUGUUAAAUCUCCCGACUCAAUCGGGAAACCGCGGGAGAGAUGAAUAGACUAGAGGCCGGAAGAGGCAAGCGGAAUUGCUGGUGUAGGGGUUAAAUCCGUUAAUAUCAGCAGGAACACCAAAAGCGAAGGCAGCUUGCUAGAACGAGCCUGACGCUAAGGGACGAAAGCGUGGGUAGCGAAUGGGAUUAGAUACCCCAGUAGUCCACGCCGU